This 252-nucleotide ribosomal RNA is filed under the name uncultured bacterium. RNAcentral describes it as "partial 16S ribosomal RNA". It matches the Rfam family "Bacterial small subunit ribosomal RNA", at positions 524 to 776 of the family's 1533-position model. The record is from RNAcentral.
UACGGAGGAUGCGAGCGUUAUCCGGAUUUAUUGGGUUUAAAGGGUGCGUAGGCGGGCUUUUAAGUCAGCGGUAAAAAUUCGGGGCUCAACCCCGUCCGGCCGUUGAAACUGGGGGCCUUGAGUGGGCGAGAAGAAGGCGGAAUGCGUGGUGUAGCGGUGAAAUGCAUAGAUAUCACGCAGUACCCCGAUUGCGAAGGCAGCCUUCCGGCGCCCUACUGACGCUGAGGCACGAAAGUGCGGGGAUCGAACAGG